AACUUUUGGCAAUGGAUCUCUUGGGUCUGGCAUCGAUGAAGAACGCAGCGAAAUGCGAUAAGUAAUGUGAAUUGCAGAAUUCAGUGAAGCAUCGAAUCUUUGGACGCACAUUGCGCCCCUUGGUAUUCCGGGGGGCAUGCCUGUUCGAGCGUCAUUUCAACCCUCAAGCACCGCUUGGUCUUGGGCCGCGCCGGCAACGGCGGGCCUCAAAAAGAGUGGCGGCGCCAUCGUGCUCUCAGCGUAGUAAUUCUUCUCGCUGUUGAGUCCCGGUGGACGCUGGCCAGCAACCCCUAACUUUCUAUGGUUGACCUCGGAUCAGGUAGGGAUACCCGCUGAACUUAAGCAUAUCAAUAAGCGGAGGCU
Molecule: unclassified non-coding RNA, 363 nt
Filed under: uncultured Helotiaceae
Lineage: Eukaryota; Fungi; Ascomycota; Leotiomycetes; Helotiales; Helotiaceae
Description: sequence contains ITS2
Rfam family: 5.8S ribosomal RNA (bases 1-154)
Source: RNAcentral